GGGGGCGUAGUGUAGUGGUUUAACAUGCUGGCCUGUCAAGCCAGAGAUCGCGGGUUCAAAUCCCGUCGCUCCCG
Molecule: transfer RNA, 74 nt
Filed under: Anaerolineaceae bacterium 4572_32.2
Lineage: Bacteria; Bacillati; Chloroflexota; Anaerolineae; Anaerolineales; Anaerolineaceae
Also listed under: 1 other name
Description: tRNA-Asp
Rfam family: tRNA
About the family: Transfer RNA (tRNA) molecules are approximately 80 nucleotides in length. Their secondary structure includes four short double-helical elements and three loops (D, anti-codon, and T loops).
Source: RNAcentral